This is a long non-coding RNA of Xenopus laevis (African clawed frog), 161 nucleotides long. RefSeq lists it as uncharacterized. NCBI's taxonomy places the organism in Eukaryota, Metazoa, Chordata, Amphibia, Anura, Pipidae. The transcript is spliced from 2 exons. The record is from RefSeq and is a predicted model, not a curated record.
UGAAAUAAAUCUUUUUAAACUACACGGAUGGCAAUCUAUUUGUUAUGGCAAUCUACCAGGCAGAUAUAUAAGUUAUGGCAAUCUACCAGGCAGAAUUGUAACAUGACAUUGCAUAUUAAUACAUAAAACAAAUGUCUUCUGCAUCUUUAAGGACCCUUAUA